GUAGAUAUAGUUUAACUAAAACACUAGAUUGUGAUUCUAAAGACAGGGGUUAAAAUCCCCUUAUCCACC
Molecule: transfer RNA, 69 nt
Filed under: Leptoderma lubricum
Lineage: Eukaryota; Metazoa; Chordata; Actinopteri; Alepocephaliformes; Alepocephalidae
Description: tRNA-His
Rfam family: tRNA
About the family: Transfer RNA (tRNA) molecules are approximately 80 nucleotides in length. Their secondary structure includes four short double-helical elements and three loops (D, anti-codon, and T loops).
Source: RNAcentral